AACUUAUAACAACAUCGUAUAGUUCAACUUAUCAUCUAGUUCAGAGACGAAAGUGGGUUAAUGAAAAACAUAUAGCAUCCUAUGUUUACAUUGCGCUGAUGUAGGAGGAGCUGCACAUCACCUUACACACCAGAAUGAGACAUCCUGGAAGAAACAAUGACCAUCGCAACAUGCAAGCAAUUGAUUAAGCAGAAAACCUGAAGUCAUCUACUCCAUCCAUUCGCAGUCCAAGAAGAGGCUUCAAGAAUUUGUUUUGGGAUCACAAUGCAAGCCUUCAAUAAUUUGAAUCAUCAAUGGGACCAGUCCCUGUUAAGACAUCGCUUAUAAGAAACAACAGAACUAAUAGAAUCAACCAGCUUAAGGGAAGAAGCACUAAAAAAUAUAGUCCAAGUAUUGCCUUAGAAUAUUCAGAUGGUUUUUACCACACCCAAAUAUGAGAAAAAGUGACACUCACAUUGCUCCUUCAAGUCGAAACUGCAUUCAUGAAUUUUGAUACUAUGAUCUGCACAUAAGUAGGCAUCGAUUAUGCUAUUCAUGUACUUUUAAAUAAUUUUUGAGCUUUUAAAUGUCAAACAAAGGAAACUGUGCAACAAAGGAAACUGUAAGACCAAUUUUUUUACAGUUAAAAUAUCAGUUUGACAUACAAGAUUUAGAGGUGUGCAAGGAAGGAAACAUAGAAAAUAACAUGCAUAUGGCAUACAAAACAUGGCAAGUGAAAACAACAACAGAUUGGGCAUUUGAUGGAAUAAGCAAUACCUGAGCCGGAGAGGUAUACAGAGGGGGAGG
Molecule: long non-coding RNA, 786 nt
Filed under: Zea mays
Lineage: Eukaryota; Viridiplantae; Streptophyta; Magnoliopsida; Poales; Poaceae
Description: long non-coding RNA (ZMAY_LNC004720)
Source: RNAcentral